CUGCUGCCUUCCGUAGGAGUCUGGUCCGUGUCUCAGUACCAGUGUGGGGGACCUUCCUCUCAGAACCCCUACGCAUCGUCGCCACGGUGGGCCGUUACCCCGCCGUCUAGCUAGUGCGCCGCAUGCCCAUCCUCUUCCGAUGAAUCUUUCCUCGAUCUCGGAUGCCCGAAACCGAUAUACGCGGGAUUAGCCUCCCUUUCGGAAGGUUGUCCCCCUGAAGAGGGCAGGUUGCAUACGUGUUACUCACCCGUGCGCCGGUCGCCGG
Molecule: ribosomal RNA, 265 nt
Filed under: uncultured bacterium
Lineage: Bacteria
Description: partial 16S ribosomal RNA
Source: RNAcentral